GUAGGGAAUAUUGCGCAAUGGACGAAAGUCUGACGCAGCGACGCCGCGUGAGUGAUGAAGGCCUUAGGGUCGUAAAGCUCUGUUGAAUGGGAAGAAAAAAAUGACGGUACCAUUCGAGGAAGGACCGGCUAACUUCGUGCCAGCAGCCGCGGUAAUACGAGGGGUUCUAGCGUUGUUCGGAAUCAUUGGGCGUGAAGGGUGUGUAGGUGGCCAUGUAAGUCAGGUGUGAAAGCCCCGGGCUCAACCCGGGAAGUGCACUUGAUACUGCGUGGCUUGAGUACCGAAGAGGGUAGUGGAAUUCCAGGUGUAGUGGUGAAAUACGUAGAUAUCUGGAGGAACACCGGUGGCGAAGGCGGCUACCUGGUCGAGUACUGACACUGAGACACGAAAGCAUGGGGAUCAAACAGGAUUAGAUACCCUGGUAGUCC
Molecule: ribosomal RNA, 428 nt
Filed under: uncultured bacterium
Lineage: Bacteria
Description: partial 16S ribosomal RNA
Rfam family: Bacterial small subunit ribosomal RNA
Source: RNAcentral